GAGAAAUACAGCUCGGGAUUUAUAACUGAUGAGCAGAGAGAAAAGUGUCCGUGCACAGAAGGUGCUAAGAGAAGACGUAAUGCAUAAGAAGGACAUCCUGCCACAUGGAGAUAUGAGGAUUUCUGUUUGAGGGAGGCCUGAGUCAUCACAGACCAGGGGAGGGGAUAAGAAAUUUGAUGACAGACUGAUGAAGAGAGAAUUUUCACUAAACCGAUUUAAAAGGAUCCCUGCCACAACCAAGCAAGGCAGGUCAAGGUCAGCUCUCAAUGAAGAGUCUGGGGAGCAAAGAUGGCGCAGAGACCUGAGCUGCGCCAACAAAGAUCAAGUGUUUGUUGAGAUAAAGGAGGUGGCGACUCUUCAAAUCUUAAACUCUGGAGAUGACGGAUAUCAACAAACUAACAAGCACGCAAAGGAAAGUUAUUGAGUAGAAGAUUGAAAAUGUC
RNAcentral lists this long non-coding RNA (443 nucleotides) under Chinchilla lanigera (long-tailed chinchilla). Its description in RNAcentral is "lncRNA (ENSCLAG00000028748.1)". The record is from RNAcentral. Lineage: Eukaryota; Metazoa; Chordata; Mammalia; Rodentia; Chinchillidae.